GACCAGGGGCUGUAGUUGGUAGUAGCGCAGGACUGUAAGGUGAUUGCUGAUAUCCUGAGGUCCCUGGUUCGAUCCCAGGCGGCG
Molecule: non-coding RNA, 84 nt
Organism: Raphidocelis subcapitata
Lineage: Eukaryota; Viridiplantae; Chlorophyta; Chlorophyceae; Sphaeropleales; Selenastraceae
Source: the annotation of a GenBank genome assembly